Bombus pyrosoma is the source of this 6815-nucleotide RNA transcript. It is a transcript of the gene named facilitated trehalose transporter Tret1-like, with no coding region annotated. The record is from RefSeq and is a predicted model, not a curated record. The transcript has 9 exons. NCBI's taxonomy places the organism in Eukaryota, Metazoa, Arthropoda, Insecta, Hymenoptera, Apidae.
AUAUUUAGUCGCGGUAACACGUCCCGAACAGUCGAAUCCUAUCCUUGCUUGGGACUCGAAGCGUCCAGAAAAAAUUGUUCAAGUUCUACUACGAGUCUGUCACUGUCGAUAAAAGUACAGCAAUAAGUGAUUUCUUUGCGAUGAGAUUUUACAGGUAAAUCCACUGGCCGAUCCCCUAUGUAUUCUUAGUUCGCAGCGAAAUACACUCUCGCUCGACGUGACGUAUAGCCACGUAGAAAAGGAUGAUCAUCGUAUUCGAGCAUCGAUGAGAGAACAACGCAGACUGUACCUAUACGUGACGGCGAGAAAUUUUCAUAUUCAAUUUUCAUAGAGGGAGAACGAGCGAAUAUAAUCGCAAAUCGAGAUUGGGCAACAGUAUCUCGCGAAAAAUGGCGGAUAGAGGCAAGGAGGACUUGAAAAGCCUUUUCCGGAGAAGGUUUCCACAGUACAUCGCUGCUUGCGCAGCGUGCAUGGGCGGAUUCUCUUUGGGUUGUGGAAUUGGUUGGAGCGCGCCGUGCGUCGAAGUGCUGAAAGAGAAGCACGAGUACGAUACGUUCUCGACGAACGUGAUCGCGUCGGUUUUUCCGCUGGGUGCAGCACUUGGGAUGCCAGUGGUGCCUUUCCUGGUCGACAAGAUCGGUCGAAAGUGGACGAUGAUGUCGCUGGUACCCGCGUUCCUUCUCGGUUGGAUGUUCAUCACAAUUGGGGUGACUACGUUCGUGCUUCUAGUCAUGGGCAGACUAAUAACCGGCGCCUGUGGCGGAAUGUUCUGCGUCGUCGCGCCGAUGUACUCGGCCGAGAUCUCCGAAAAAGAGAUUAGAGGUACAUUGGGAGUCUUCUUCCAAUUGCUACUCGUGAUCGGGAUUCUGUACGCUUACUGCUGCGGCUACGCUAGGAACAUCGUUGUGAUAUCGAUUCUAUGUGGUAUCGCUCCUCUUUUAUUCGCCAGCAUCAUGACCUUCAUGCCGGAGAGCCCGCUGUUUUACAUGGCGAAAGAGAACGAAGAAGCCGCCAAGAAGUCGAUGCGAUUCUUCCGUGGAUCGGAGUACGAUAUCGACCCUGAGAUCAGCGCGUUUAAAGAUCAAAUAGAGAAAAGCAGGCGCGAGAAGGUGACGUUCUCUGCGUUCUUGAAGAGACCAGUGUUGAAGACUAUGGGAGUGGCAUAUGGGUUGAUGUUCGCGCAACAAUUCAGCGGCAUCAACGCUAUUAUUUUCUACUGCGAGACGAUCUUCAGGCAAACUGGCGUUAACAUGGAUCCCCUGCUCCAGAUGUUGAUCUUCGCGGUGGUCCAGGUGAUCGCCUGCGCUAUAUCGGCCUCGUUGAUCGAUCAGCUGGGUCGGAAGGUCCUCAUGAUGAUAUCCUGCGGCGUGAUGUGUCUCUGUCUGAUGGCUCUAGGCAUCUUCUUCGUUUUGAGGACCAACAAUCCCGACCAAGCCGACCGUCUAUUUUGGUUACCGCUCGUUUCUGCUUGCCUAUAUAUCCUGGCUUUCUGCCUGGGUGCCGGUCCCAUACCAUGGGCCUACAUGGGCGAAAUCUUCCCAGCGAAACUAAAGGGGACAGCUUCCUCCAGCGCGGCGUGUUUGAACUGGAUGUUGGCGUUCAUCGUGACCGUAUCGUUUUCCUCCGUGGUCGAUGCUGUUGGGAACGCAGCUGCGUUCUUUUUCUUCGCGAUGAUCUGUCUAUUGAGCGUGGUUUUCGUGAUAUUCUGCAUGAUCGAGACCAAGGGGAAGACGUUUGCCGACAUUCAAAGGGAGUUCGGCACCUACGACAUCAACGAACGAUGAUAGCAUUCGAUCAGGAGAAAUACAUAGACAGAGAUUUCUGCGGACCUAUCGCUGAGAGCAUCGAUAACAGUAUAAAUUUGUCAUCGCACGAUAGCGGCGAGAUGAAUGUGAAAUGCCGGUGCGUGGAUCGUAGAAACUUUAGAAAUAUUCAGAGAGUCUCAUUUUCCGAGCGGACAAAAUUCUUUUCCGACGGAGGAAGGAGAUGCAAGCUAAACUUGAACUCUCGAGGACUAUGCGGUCCGUGCACGCACAUAUGCAGAGGCACGUACAAUGCGUAGCUGCGUUGCAGCUUGCCUGCCCUUGGUGUGAUUCUCGAGUCAACAAUGAUGCGCCUGUGGCUGGCUCCGCCCAUGUAAAAUGAAAAAUCGUUGAGAUUAGUGUGUGACGAGAGUUAUUUAUAUUACGAGAGAAGGCUGGCCCCGUUUGAACGAAAAAGCCUGAACGCGUUCUUUCAUGGACGUUGACCUAACGGGUUAAUCGGGGAGCAUCGAUCGAUCACCGAGCAAUGAGAGCCUGAUUGGUAAUUGCUCGUCGAUAGCAAACACCACCUACCUCUCUUUAUUCGCCUUUCUUUAAUAAGAAACGCCGAGAACAUGGUAUAUUCAUAAUUAUAUUUUAACACUGCUAUAUAGAAAUUUAAUUCGAUUUCGAUUAACAUUUGCUCUCUCUUACUAAAAAAGAAAAGAAAAAAUUAGCAACUAACUGUUUUCAAUAACUUUCCGUAGGAAUUUAAAGAACAACUGCCUUUUACUCCUCUGAUCAUGAACCCCUCACUUCGUUCAAUUCCAUCUGUUAGAUAGUUCUGUUUGUGGAACAAUCUUAAUGUAUGAGAUCAACGAACAAUUUAACGUUUCCGAAAUAAACUUCUACCGAGGAACUAUUCGAUCGGAGAUCAAACGUUUCUUCUAGUAUUCGUCUUAAUAAAUACGCGAAUGUCGAGGAUGAAUUGUCUGCUCUCCCUACCCUUCCCUUUCUGCUGUUCGAUGCAUUUGUCAUGCAGUUGCCAUCGCUCGGUAGGCGUUCGCUUUCAUCGAUUAUGCAUUCGAAUUUAUAUUUAUGAAGCGUAGUAGCUUCUCGUAUCGGCGUUCUAAUAAUGGAUGCUGCUAUAAACCUCUCGUCAGGGUCGGCCGUUGCAUGUCGACGUACGCUGCCUACUCUCUGUAUCGAGCCACGCGUUGUCUCAGCUUCGCAGAUUUUUCCCUCCAUGUUGUCGUGCGUUUUGCGGAUCCUCCAUCGGCGGACCGUCCAACAAACGCUGUUUCCCCACGUGGCCGGAUGUUUACGCGCGCCUCGAUUCCUCGCGGGACAGAAGGAAAGGAGAGAAACGUUCUCGAGCAGGAGGAUGUCGAGGAGAUCCACGCAACGAUCGAACCGGCAUCGUUCGCUUCGAAUCGAAUAGAACGAUCUUUAAGUGGAAAUCGGAUCAUCUCGUUAAUCCUUGAUUCGUUAAGUGAAUUUAAUUUGUUAUUUCUAAUAAAGGAACGAAAUCUACGGAACGAGCAAAGAUUAGCAAUUGGGCGAAUUUGACCUCCUGGUUGACGUUCUAGGUUAACGCUAGGAAUACCAAAGUGGUCAAAAUUCGCAAUUCUUUUAUACAAGGUAUAUGCUCCUACGAUACUCUAGGAGUUAAUCGUUAUUCGUGGCGAUCGCCGUGAGCGUUGACACGCUAGGCGAACGGAAGCCACGUGCUGCUGACCAAGUGGAGGCGAGCGACCAUUCUACAACAGUGUUGGAUCCCUUCGUCGCCGAAUAAAUUUGCCGGCGAAACCGAAAGUAUCGGAGGAGAAAGGCAGGCACGCUCUCAUGCAAGAAACAGCCCCGACGGGAGGUCAGGAGAGACCAGACGAGUUUUUCGCGCGUUCCGCCAAGAAUUGCUCGUAGGUUCUUUCUUCGUGGGAAGAAGCUGACUUCUGGAAGCGACUGGUGGAAAAAUGGCUCGGUGUUACAGAAUGUUUGCCAGACUCUCUCGUCCGUUUCAACUUCCCUUCUGGCGAGUUGAUUUUCGCCAGAUUCAUUUUCGAGUCAAAAAUGACAGAAAAAUAGCGACUUUUCUUUUUAUCAAAGUACAUGAAAUUUGCAUUUACUUUAUCCAAUUAUGAAAGCGAAAAUAUAUCUACAUUUAACUACAAAAGUGUAAAACAAUGUCGCAAGAUGCAGCGUGAAAGGGUUAAAGGAUGAUCGAAGAGCCGUGUUCACCGACAAAACCCGAUUCUUUCUCCGGUUUCUCUCCGAACGCUGGACCGAUACGCCAAGAGAGCCAGUUCGAAGUCGUUGGUACGAGGCAGUCUGUUGUAUAUUUCAUGAACGGUGAGUUUCCAUCCUCGUCGGUGUAUCGGGAGAGAAGGACAAGCUGGAACGCGUCGCUGACGUGGUACGAACCACGCACGAUGCCAUCGUCGCACCGUUUUAUUAUACGUAACGCUCGCGUCUGCGGAAAAUUGCGUUUUUUCACAUAAGCUCUACGCCACGCGAUAGGGAUGAUUACGCCGCAUCUCGUGUUUACGAACGCUACAAACCUUCUACUACCUUUGCAAUCUUCUACCCUUUCCUUCGCCUCAGCAUCGCUUUUUUUUUAAAUUUCUUUUAAAGAAUUUUGUUAGCAACUUUUCUACAUUCCGCUAUGAAAGUUCAUUUCCAAGCGACGUUCGCUCACCCGAAUAAUUAUGCAAAUUAAAUUACCGUAUAAUUACUGUUCCAAGUUCCGGUUUUCACGAGAAAAAUCGAUAUCGAAAAGUCGCGGUUUUCGAAUGCCACGAUUUCCAGCACAAAAGUUUCGCAGCGACCCGACCUCCACCCUUUGCCUCUCUUCUCAUCGGAUAGAUUCCAUUUGCCUUUCUUGAUGUCACCCUAUCGUUCUCCAAGCCUGUUUACCUGUCUCCUCUUCGGCUGGCUGAGUCGACCCACACACGAUCCGCGCUUCAAGGUUCCGCUCGCGGAUCACUUGGCAGACGGUGCGAACGCGCGCGCACACACGUGUAUCGUCCCCUCUUUUACUCUCUUCUUCUCCCGUUUGCUCCGCGUCGAUUGCACACUGCACCAUUGCACCGCGGGGCCAUUGGCCUCUCUCCGCUCGGUAUCGUCACGCGUGCUCGCUCGUUUCUCGGCGACACACAGCUCGAAGCCGAAAAGCACCGUGCUGCGAGAGCGCGCUUUUUUCUGCACCUCUCUCCUCCGCGAUUUAUCGCGAGGCCAUGCUCGUACCUCGUAUUGACUCCGCACGGCAUGCUCGCCUGCGUCACGCGCGAAACGAGGACGGGUCACCGUGUCGCGAGCCGAUUUUUCCUAAGUGCAUGUUCGUACGAUCGGUUGGAAUUGUGGCUUUCGCACGAAUAUCGAAGAGAUAAGAAUUGGUUCUUCCGUGCAGCUACCACGUUCAAGCCACCUCGGGACCAGUUUUAUUUCUUGCUGUAUUUCGUAUUAGCGACGCGGCAACUAUUCAAAGAACGUAGAAUUUCUAACGGACUUUUACUCGAAUUUCCGAUGCUGCAUGAUCUUCCCGACUCCGUGUUAAGAAUACGAAUAUCGCGUCCUUUUCAAGACUUUAAGGUUCUCCGUGUGUUAUUUGAUCCUUUCGCCGAUCUUACUCUCUGUGAGAUUUUUUAUAAAAUUACUGAAAUUCGUAAAGGUGCAUGAAUUCCUACGGUUCUACGCGAGGAAUUCGAGCAUUAUGCGUAGUAUUGCUUCUCUGCUACAAAAUAUUUUCAUUAGAUUACUACAAUUUAUACGGACACGUGGAUUUUCACGAUUCUCUCUGUCAAAAUACACAAAUAUCAUAUCUACUCGCAUAGCACUGCUUACGCGUGUCUUCCAAAAUAUCUUGCACGGAAUUCGUCGAAUCCGUCAAAUUGUAUGAAUUUCCAGGAAUUAUACAUCUCCAGGGAAAAUACAAAUAUUCUCUCCUAUUGCAAAGCUUUCACGAUUCUCCUGCAAGCAAGCGCGCCGAUUAAUUGCUCCGUAGUUUCACCGUUAAUCAAUCUUCCAUCACGUACCUUGUAACGAUGUGUCCCCGGAAUGAAGCCGCCGCUAAUGGAGUCGAAACUCUGCCUAGACCCUCGAGCCUCCAAAUUUAGCGAAAGCGAGGAAGCAGGGUGCCCCGUAGGCGAUUAAUUAAUUUCUAUCUGCUCCGAUCUUGGUCUGUCCGAAUCGCGAGAUUCUCGUUUCCUGUGCGCGCUAUCGGCCUACCAUAAAUAACGCGAACGCAGAAAUAAACGCGGUAUCGGGCCAGUUUCGCUCGUCUCUCGAUUAUGCAUUAGCUUGUACACGCGCUCAAGUUUCUCUCUCUCUCUCUCUCUCUCCUGUCUAUCUCUAUCUUUGCUGCGUCUGACUAGUAUCGUCAGUCUGUCCACUAUCUACUUACUGCCGCUGGCUCUUUCUUGGUACACGCGAGAGAGGGCUGAAUUCGUAGGAGGAUCGACGUCAAUGGAGAUCGCUGUUUCGAAUGUUCUACACGGAAUCCUUUUAUCACCAGUCCGCGUGCCCGCCCUGAAAGAAACUACUGUGCACGUGCGUCAAUGGUCGCGUUCCAGCGUACCAGCGUAUCAGCGAUAGCAAUAUCAGCCCCUUGCUUUUUCUUCGUCGCUUUCCUCCAGCAUUUUUACUAGAUCAUAAGAAACGUUGCAUUCUCUCUUUAUUCGUAAGUAGUAAUUUUUAGGAAAAUUUGGGAUUCCCUUCUAAUGUGAAAAUUACAACGUUUAGAAAUUAUUGCAGGAUUAACAUCCGUCCGCCACAGGCGAUGAAACAUAAAUAAAAAAUGAAAUGUAAGAUUCUUUAUACAGUGUAAUAACGAUCAACGAAUUCGGUUUGACGCUUGCUGUCAUUUUCAUGGGUGUACUCCGAUUUCAAGUCGCUGAUGCUAAUUUCACGUUUACUGUUUUUCUGCUAUGUAAAUAUCGUAUAACUACGUGUUUCCUGUUCCCCACUGCAAUAUGUCGCAAUAACUACGAGUUUCCUGUUUUCCAACAUAAUAUAGCAAUUUCAAUAUUGGACGGUAAUACACAGCAAAGUAAACAAGCGUUUCGCUUUUUCAAUCUU